UGGGUAACCUGCCUCAAAGAGGGGAAUAGCCUCCCGAAAAGGGAGAUUACUACCGCAUAAUAUGUUUAAGUCGCAUGACUUUAACAUCAAAGGAUUUUCUUUUAGAAAUUCCACUUUGAGAUGGACCCGCGGCGCAUUAGCUAGUUGGUGAGGUAACGGCUCACCAAGGCAACGAUGCGUAGCCGACCUGAGAGGGUNAUCGGCCACAUUGGAACUGAGACACGGCCCAGCUCCUAGGG
RNAcentral lists this ribosomal RNA (239 nucleotides) under uncultured bacterium. RNAcentral describes it as "partial 16S ribosomal RNA". It matches the Rfam family "Bacterial small subunit ribosomal RNA", at positions 118 to 344 of the family's 1533-position model. The record is from RNAcentral.